This 71-nucleotide transfer RNA is filed under the name Beatragus hunteri. RNAcentral's name for it is "tRNA-His". It matches the Rfam family "tRNA". From Rfam's summary of the family: Transfer RNA (tRNA) molecules are approximately 80 nucleotides in length. Their secondary structure includes four short double-helical elements and three loops (D, anti-codon, and T loops). The record is from RNAcentral. Lineage: Eukaryota; Metazoa; Chordata; Mammalia; Artiodactyla; Bovidae.
GUAGGUAUAGUUUAAAAAAAAAUAUUAGACUGUGAAUCUAACAAUAGAAGCUCGCCACCUUCUUACUUACC